Molecule: unclassified non-coding RNA, 212 nt
Filed under: Pseudorhypophila marina
Lineage: Eukaryota; Fungi; Ascomycota; Sordariomycetes; Sordariales; Naviculisporaceae
Description: Zopfiella marina partial internal transcribed spacer region
Rfam family: Eukaryotic small subunit ribosomal RNA (bases 1-46)
Source: RNAcentral
AAGUCGUAACAAGGUCUCCGUUGGUGAACCAGCGGAGGGAUCAUUAAAGAGUUGCAAAACUCCCACAAACCAUCGCGAACGUUACCCAGACGUCGUUGCUUCGGUGGGCUCGCCCGCCGGGGGGACGCUACCAGACUCUUGCAGUUCUUCGGCCUCUCUGAGUACGAUUUUUAAAUAAGUCAAAACUUUCAACAACGGAUCUCUUGGUUCUG